Small nucleolar RNA from Parambassis ranga (Indian glassy fish), 200 nucleotides. Ensembl annotates it as small nucleolar RNA SNORA53. The record is from Ensembl. Lineage: Eukaryota; Metazoa; Chordata; Actinopteri; Ambassidae.
AACACGUUCCUUAGAUCCACCUCUGGAGGGCACUGUUCUUUGAACAGUGUUCCUCAGCAGCUUUUUGGCUGUACAGUUGGAGGUGCUUGAGUCAUUGGCGUGUGAGAACAGUCUACCUGACCCCCAGCCCACAUGCUGCACUGGCAACCCUGUUAUCACACAGGGAGCUCCUAGUGCUGUAAGCCUGGGGGGCGGACACA